This 274-nucleotide ribosomal RNA is filed under the name uncultured bacterium. RNAcentral describes it as "partial 16S ribosomal RNA". It matches the Rfam family "Bacterial small subunit ribosomal RNA", at positions 523 to 796 of the family's 1533-position model. The record is from RNAcentral.
AUACGGAGGGUGCAAGCGUUAUUCGGAAUCACUGGGCGUAAAGGACGCGUAGGCGGGAAAGCAAGUCUGAUGUGAAAUCCUAUGGCUUAACCAUAGAACUGCAUUGGAAACUGCUUACCUAGAGUAUGGGAGGGGGAGAUGGAAUUAGUGGUGUAGGGGUAAAAUCCGUAGAUAUCACUAGGAAUACCUAAAGCGAAGGCGAUCUCCUGGAACAAUACUGACGCUAAGGCGUGAAAGCGUGGGGAGCAAACGGGAUUAGAAACCCUAGUAGUCC